RNAcentral lists this ribosomal RNA (1343 nucleotides) under Leucobacter sp. RNAcentral's name for it is "bacterial SSU rRNA". It matches the Rfam family "Bacterial small subunit ribosomal RNA", at positions 84 to 1438 of the family's 1533-position model. Lineage: Bacteria; Bacillati; Actinomycetota; Actinomycetes; Micrococcales; Microbacteriaceae. The record is from RNAcentral.
UGGGUGGAAGAGUGGCGAACGGGUGAGUAACACGUGAGUAACCUGCCUAUCACUCUGGGAUAAGCGCUGGAAACGGCGUCUAAUACUGGAUAUGUCCCAUCACCGCAUGGUGUGUGGGUGGAAAGAUUUAUCGGUGGUAGAUGGACUCGCGGCCUAUCAGCUUGUUGGUGAGGUAAUGGCUCACCAAGGCGACGACGGGUAGCCGGCCUGAGAGGGUGACCGGCCACACUGGGACUGAGACACGGCCCAGACUCCUACGGGAGGCAGCAGUGGGGAAUAUUGCACAAUGGGCGCAAGCCUGAUGCAGCAACGCCGCGUGAGGGAUGACGGCCUUCGGGUUGUAAACCUCUUUUAGUAGGGAAGAAGCGCAAGUGACGGUACCUGCAGAAAAAGCACCGGCUAACUACGUGCCAGCAGCCGCGGUAAUACGUAGGGUGCAAGCGUUGUCCGGAAUUAUUGGGCGUAAAGAGCUCGUAGGCGGCUUGUCGCGUCUGCUGUGAAAACUGGAGGCUCAACCUCCAGCCUGCAGUGGGUACGGGCAAGCUAGAGUGCGGUAGGGGAGAUUGGAAUUCCUGGUGUAGCGGUGGAAUGCGCAGAUAUCAGGAGGAACACCGAUGGCGAAGGCAGAUCUCUGGGCCGUUACUGACGCUGAGGAGCGAAAGCAUGGGGAGCGAACAGGAUUAGAUACCCUGGUAGUCCAUGCCGUAAACGUUGGGAACUAGAUGUAGGGCCUGUUCCACGGGUUCUGUGUCGUAGCUAACGCAUUAAGUUCCCCGCCUGGGGAGUACGGCCGCAAGGCUAAAACUCAAAGGAAUUGACGGGGGCCCGCACAAGCGGCGGAGCAUGCGGAUUAAUUCGAUGCAACGCGAAGAACCUUACCAAGGCUUGACAUAUACGAGAACGGGCGAGAGAUCGUCAACUCUUUGGACACUCGUAAACAGGUGGUGCAUGGUUGUCGUCAGCUCGUGUCGUGAGAUGUUCGGUUAAGUCCGGCAACGAGCGCAACCCUCGUCCUAUGUUGCCAGCACGUAAUGGUGGGAACUCAUGGGAUACUGCCGUGGUCAACACGGAGGAAGGUGGGGAUGACGUCAAAUCAUCAUGCCCCUUAUGUCUUGGGCUUCACGCAUGCUACAAUGGCCGAUACAAAGGGCUGCGAUACCGCGAGGUGGAGCGAAUCCCAAAAAGUCGGUCUCAGUUCGGAUUGGGGUCUGCAACUCGACCCCAUGAAGUCGGAGUCGCUAGUAAUCGCAGAUCAGCAACGCUGCGGUGAAUACGUUCCCGGGCCUUGUACACACCGCCCGUCAAGUCAUGAAAGUCGGUAACACCCGAAGCCGGUGGCCUAA